RNA transcript from Beta vulgaris subsp. vulgaris (sugar beet), 2435 nucleotides. It is a transcript of the gene named chaperonin CPN60-like 2, mitochondrial, with no coding region annotated. The record is from RefSeq and is a predicted model, not a curated record. The transcript is spliced from 20 exons. Lineage: Eukaryota; Viridiplantae; Streptophyta; Magnoliopsida; Caryophyllales; Amaranthaceae.
UCCUUUCUAAAGAAAAAAAGGAAAUAAUUCAACCCAAAACCCCCCAAGAACAAAAAGAGUCAAAACCCCUGAAACUCACUAGUCACUAUUGAACUUUGUGUAUUUUUGUGCUUAAACCCUACUAUUUUCUUCUUUCUCUCUCCUACUAUACAAUGUAUCGUGUAACAUCUUCAUUGAUCAGGUCUCAUGCUUCAAGACGACUGGUAAGCAGUAGGAUAAUAUCUAGUAGAAAUUAUGUUGCAAAAGAUAUCAGUUUUGGUGUCGAAGCUCGGAUGGCUAUGCUGCAAGGAGUUAAUGAGAUUGCGGAAGCUGUGAAGGUCACUAUGGGACCAAGGGGCCGCACUGUGGUUAUUGAAAGGAGUCAUAAAGAUCCUAAAGUUACAAAGGAUGGCGUAACAGUUGCCAAGAGCAUUAAGUUCAAUGAAAGGACAAAGAAUCUUGGUGCAGAGCUUGUAAAGCAGGUUGCGAAGGCCACAAAUACUGUUGCAGGAGAUGGAACCACUUGUGCUACUGUCUUGACUCAGUCAAUUUUAGUGGAAGGCUGCAAAUCCAUAGCUGCUGGUGUAAAUGCUAUGGAUCUGCGUACUGGGAUCAAUAUGGCAGUUGAUGCUGUGGUUUCCAACUUGAAAAGCAAAGCAAUGAUGAUAAGUACACCAGAGGAGAUCACUCAGGUGGCUACUAUCUCUGCUAAUGGGGAGCGUGAAAUUGGUAAACUCAUUGCCAGGGCAAUGGAGAAAGUUGGCGAGGAAGGUGUAAUCACUGUUUCUGAUGGAAACACAUUGGAUGAUGAAUUGGAGGUGGUGGAGGGGAUGAAGCUAGCCAGGGGUUAUAUUUCUCCUUAUUUCAUUACAGAUCAAAAGACCCAGAAAUGUGAACUUGAAAAUCCUUUGGUUCUCAUCCAUGAGAAGAAAGUUUCAGAUGUGGGAUCCCUUGUUAGAGUAUUGGAGUUGGCUCUUCAGAUGAAUAGACCUCUGCUAAUAGUUGCGGAAGAUAUUGAAGGUGAUGCUCUAUCACUGCUAAUACUGAACAAGCACCAAGCCGGGCUUAAGGUUUGUGCCAUAAAAGCUCCAGGGUUUGGAGAAAGCAGGAAAGCUAACUUAGAUGAUCUAGCUGUCUUUACAGGAGGAGAGGUUAUUGCAGAAGAGCGGGGGUUGACUCUCGACAAGAUCCAACCUGACAUGCUUGGUGUUGCGAAGAAGGUUACCAUCUCAAUGGAUGACACCAUUGUCCUAAAUGGAGGUGGAGACAAGAAGGUGAUAGAAGAGCGCUGUGAAGAGCUAAGAAUUUCCAUGGAGAGAAGUACUUCAACCUUUGACAAAGAGAAGGCACAGGAGCGGUUAUCAAAGCUCGCCGGUGGUGUUGCUGUCUUCAAGGUUGGAGGAGCCAGUGAAGCUGAAGUUAGUGAGAGAAAGGACAGGGUCAUAGACGCUCUGAAUGCAACUAGAGCUGCCGUAGAGGAGGGUAUUGUGCCCGGUGGUGGAGUUGCUCUCCUUCAUGCUUCAAAAGCUCUGGAGAAUAUCCAUACUAAGAAUGAAGACCAGAAAAGAGGGGUUCGAAUAGUCCAGAAUGCUCUCAAGGCACCUACAGUCACCAUUGUGUCAAAUGCUGGAGGUGAAGCUCCACUGGUGAUUGGCAAGUUGAUGGAACAAGACGAUCACAAUAUUGGCUAUGACGCAUCUAAAGGUGAAUAUGUGAACAUGGUAAAAGCAGGAAUAAUAGAUCCUGUUAAAGUUAUCAGAACAGCUUUGGUAGAUGCUGCAAGUGUUUCAUCUCUUCUCACCACAACUGAAGCCGUUAUUACCGAGCAUCCAGAACAAAGCAAAGCUGCACAACGUGUGCCAGACAUGGAUCAGAUGGACUUGUGAUGAUAGACAAUUUUUUGAUCUUUAGCACGGGCAUCUGAUUGAUAUAUUAUUGUACGCAUAGCUAUAUCUUUAUCAGGAGGACUAAGGUUACGUAUGAUCUUGGUGAUAUUGCUAACGCCGAAAAGCUUAUGCGCGUUAAGAAACUGUCGUUGACGAUCAUGAGGGAAAUAAGGAGCUAAAGCACAAUCUGAUGCACAUUUCCUACGUUGGUUGUUUGGAUGGUGUUUGCUGGGGAAUGGUGCUGAGAUUUCUGCUGCGUUGCCAACGGAUUUGCAACUUUUUUCUGAAUGAGUUUUUUAGGGAACUCUUCAUUUUUUUUGUAUCUUUUCCCUGAAUUUCUCCAUGAAUUAGAUGGAUGAGAAUGAGAGAAUAUGUGGAGGUGGGAGAUAAAUAAGCGGAAGAAGAGGAGGAGGAGAAUACAACUAUAUAAAACAGGUUAAUUGAGACUUGAACAACUAGAUCAAAAGUUUGUUAGUUGUUAUAGACUUUUUAAUUAGUUUCUAUAUUUAUACUAUUGAGGUGUCAUUUUAUUGGAAAUUUAAUACCAAUUCUACAGUUUUAAGGUCUUUA